UACGUAGGGGGCAAACGUUGUCCGGAUUUACUGGGUGUAAAGGGUGCUCAGGCGGUUUAGUAAGUUAGAAGUGAAAUCCUAGGGCUUAACUCUGGAACUGCUUUUAAUACUGCUAAGCUUGAAUGUGGAAGAGGAUGAUGGAAUUUCUGGUGUAGCAGUGAAAUGCGUAGAUAUCAGAAAGAACACCAGUGGCGAAGGCGGUCAUCUGGUCCACUAUUGACGCUAAAGCACGAAAGCGUGGGGAGCAAACAGG
RNAcentral lists this ribosomal RNA (253 nucleotides) under uncultured bacterium. RNAcentral describes it as "partial 16S ribosomal RNA". It matches the Rfam family "Bacterial small subunit ribosomal RNA", at positions 524 to 776 of the family's 1533-position model. The record is from RNAcentral.